Molecule: ribosomal RNA, 183 nt
Filed under: Kumara haemanthifolia
Lineage: Eukaryota; Viridiplantae; Streptophyta; Magnoliopsida; Asparagales; Asphodelaceae
Description: 5.8S ribosomal RNA
Rfam family: 5.8S ribosomal RNA (bases 1-121)
About the family: 5.8S ribosomal RNA (5.8S rRNA) is a component of the large subunit of the eukaryotic ribosome. It is transcribed by RNA polymerase I as part of the 45S precursor that also contains 18S and 28S rRNA. Functionally, it is thought that 5.8S rRNA may be involved in ribosome translocation.
Source: RNAcentral
AUGAAGAACGUAGCGAAAUGCGAUACUUGGUGUGAAUUGCAGAAUCCCGCGAACCAUCGAGUUUUUGAACGCAAGUUGCGCCCGAGGCCACCCGGCCGAGGGCACGCCUGCCUGGGCGUCACGCCUCGCGUCGCUCCGCCUACCUCGCCCCGAGCACAUCGUGCUCUUGCGGAGACGGGCGGC